RNAcentral lists this ribosomal RNA (348 nucleotides) under Triticum aestivum (bread wheat). RNAcentral describes it as "partial small subunit ribosomal RNA". The record is from RNAcentral. Lineage: Eukaryota; Viridiplantae; Streptophyta; Magnoliopsida; Poales; Poaceae.
AUGGAUCAGAAGCUGAUCGAGCACCUUGAGGCUAAAGUGAUUGCUAACAGCAUGAGAUCUCACCCUCUCAUCGAUUUGUUCAUACCAACCAUCGAUAGCGAGGACGGCAUAUGCUACAUCCAUCCUGAGAAACUUCCAGACGGGCGGCAAAAAGGUUCUGGUGCUGCAGACCAAGCAGAACUUCUACCAUUCCCGCAAAAAAAUAACUUCGACCAGCAGAGCACCAACUGGGUGAUGCACCAGUACCACCUCGGGGACCUGGAGCAAGAGAAGGAGCGGGAGCUGGUCUUCUGCAAGAUUUUCUACCAGGCGAACACUAGGGCCAAGACUAAAAAGAUUAUAAGUUAG